RNAcentral lists this ribosomal RNA (867 nucleotides) under Triticum aestivum (bread wheat). RNAcentral describes it as "partial small subunit ribosomal RNA". The record is from RNAcentral. Lineage: Eukaryota; Viridiplantae; Streptophyta; Magnoliopsida; Poales; Poaceae.
AUGGAGGUGGUGACCGGUGCCAUGGGAAGCCUGCUCCCCAAGCUUGGCGAGCUGCUCGUGGGUGAGUACAAGCUGCUGAAGGGUGUCAAGAAAGAUGUUGAGUCCCUUGAGAGGGAGAUGAAGAGCAUGAACGCUGCACUUGUCAAGAUGGCGGAGGUGCCAAGGGACCAGCUGGAUAACCAGGUCAUCAUCUGGGCUGAUGAGCUCAGGGAGCUAUCGUACGACAUGGAGGAUGUUGUCGACAACUUCCUGGUGUGCGCCGAGGGUUCUCAAUCUGAUGCCAUCGCCGACUCAAACAACCUCAAAAGGCUGGUAGGGAAGAUGGCCAACUUGUUCACCAAAGGCAAGACACGCCAUCAGAUCGGCAAUGCCAUCAGGGACAUCAAGAACCGCGCCCAGGAGGUGGCUGACCGGCGUGACAGAUACAAAGUUGAUGGUGUUGUUACUAAUCCAGCUGGCAAACAAAAGAUUGAUCCUCGUGUCUUGGCUUUGUACAAGGAUCAGAAAGAGCUCGUUGGUAUUGAAGACGCACGGGACGAGCUAACCAAGAUGCUCACAGAUGAUGAUGGUCCCAAGCAGCAGCAGCACAAGAUGAAGAUAGUCUCUAUUAUUGGACCUGGAGGACUUGGCAAGACUACACUUGCUAAGGCAGUGUAUGAUAGGCUUCAAACACAAUUUACAUGCACAACAUUUGUUUUAGUGGGUCGAGACCCAGAAGUGAAGAAAGUUCUCAGGGAUAUCAUCUUGGAAGUUGACAAGAACAAGUGUAUGGGUGAUUUAGCCACAUUGGAUGAAACACAACUCAUCAGCAAACUCCGACGACUACUUGAGAAUGCAAGGUACGUAUGUACACAUCAUCCACCUUAA